CUUUUUUAAUAUUUGUAAGAGUUCUUUGACAGAAGCACUUUAUGUACCUGAUCCAAGCCCCUGGCAUCUGUAGUGCUGUAGUCACAGGCCUGCUGGGUAAAGGGCAUGAGGUUUAAGUUGUCCCUCACUCCAUCUGGUGUCUGGGUGGUGUUCAAAACAUUGAAGCACAGUCUGACAGUAAUUGGAAAGGAAUGUUACAACCAAAUGUCAUGGCUUUCACUUACGAAGUCGUUGCUUUUGCACCGUGUUCAUUGUUUGGCAAAAACUGCAUGCACUCCUGGUUUCUUCCAAGCGGGCCCCCAGUGUCUGGUCUGGAGCGUGAAGUCACAAGCUCUGCUGGUCGGCUACUGCGACGGCGGUACAUUCCCCGACAGGAUUUCCUGCACGGCCUCUGCCAUGAAAUCACAAAGACCCCCAAAAAUUUCAACGGCAUUCACAAUGAUUCCAAUUUUUUGGGGGACUUCUUCUCCGCUUGUGCCUGUACAGUUUAUGACCGUUCCAACAAAUAAUACAAAGUCCACCUUUUUAACAUGUAGCAUUUCACUAUCCUUCGGUUGAUGAGAAACCUUCACUAGUGGUGGUGGCUCCGAAUACCAUAGUUUCUUCCACCGGCACUCGUUCCUUCCAAUCUUCUUGCCACCUCGUUCUCCUCCACCCUAACAGGGCACUCGAGGAAUCCGGGCGCAUUUUCACCUCCACAGUUGCAGCAUUUCACUUCAUCUGGCAUAUGAUACUCUUCCCUUCUGCACACACUUGACCAAAUGACCAUGUAUUUUACAUUGAUGACACUGAAAGGGGCUUGUGCACAAAAGCUCUUACAGGGCAUUUCAUGAAUCCUAUCUUUCUAUGAGAAGGGAGAGACUGAUCAAAAACAGUAGCUUGGAUGAAGUGAAUUUAUUUCAGUGGAGGCUGCCUCAUAAUAAUGGCUGGAAUUAAGCGGGUAGAAUGGCAUCCAACACGUCGUUGAUUACCAUUCCACUAAUUCCCCUCCAGCCAUUACCACCAGCCCGCCUCCCCAAUUAAGGUGCCACCAACGUCCUGUGAUUUAUUUUCUCCAUCCACCGUACAGGUCAGUCGACGGGCACCAACCACUCCAUCGAUGUCUUCAGUAAUGUCCUCUGCCUUGUAUUUCUUCCGCCGCACCAGAAAUAGCCCCCUUUGAUUGGCGCCUUGCUACGAAAAUCCGUACAGGAAACAAUUCACUCAGAUAUAUUUUUGAGUCUUAACACGCUUCUUCUGCUCCGCAGACACACAACCAAAUCUAAAUAUAGACCACUUCUUGUGACUCUUACCGCCUCCACACUUUCCUUCAAAACAAUCCAGAUUUUCCUUGUGAUGUUAAAUUGACUUCCCAAGUAGCGUUGAUCCAAAACUCUCACUCCCGACUAAAAACCAGUCUAGUGGUUUCCUUUUUACUUAUCUUGUUUCCCUUUUUCUUCGCCAUGGUAACCCACUCAUUCUCACUUCCUGUACAUAUUAGCUUCACCCGACUCACUAGCAGUUUCAAACAAAACCUCAGUUUCCGC
Oncorhynchus tshawytscha (Chinook salmon) is the source of this 1526-nucleotide long non-coding RNA. Lineage: Eukaryota; Metazoa; Chordata; Actinopteri; Salmoniformes; Salmonidae. The record is from Ensembl.